RNAcentral lists this long non-coding RNA (336 nucleotides) under Eutrema salsugineum. RNAcentral describes it as "long non-coding RNA (ESAL_LNC000030)". The record is from RNAcentral. Lineage: Eukaryota; Viridiplantae; Streptophyta; Magnoliopsida; Brassicales; Brassicaceae.
AAAAUCCAAAGUUUUCUCUAUAAAUCUCAUCAACUCCCAUAUUUUCAUUUCUUCUUUCUAGUAAUUAAAAGAAACUACCAAAACACCAAUAAAACAAAAUUUCAAAAAUGGCCUCGGUUACAACAUCAGCUACCGUCGCGAUCCCUACAUUCACCGGACUCAAGCUCGCUUUCAGCUCCAAAUCCACGACGGUUUCCGCCGCCACCGCAAAGUUGCCUAAGCUCGCCGUAAAGUCUUCUCUCAAAGAUUUCGGGGUCAUCGCCGUGGCAACGGCAGCUUCCAUCGCUUUGGCCGGGAAUGCGAUGGCCAUUGAGGUUCUUCUAGGAUCAGACGACG